GACGAACGCUGGCGGCGUGCCUAAUACAUGCAAGUGGAACGCUGAAGGAGGAGCUUGCUUCUCUGGAUGAGUUGCGAACGGGUGAGUAACGCGUAGGUAACCUGCCUGGUAGCGGGGGAUAACUAUUGGAAACGAUAGCUAAUACCGCAUAAGAGUAGAUGUUGCAUGACAUUUGCUUAAAAGGUGCAAUUGCAUCACUACCAGAUGGACCUGCGUUGUAUUAGCUAGUUGGUGGGGUAACGGCUUACCAAGGCGACGAUACAUAGCCGACCUGAGAGGGUGAUCGGCCACACUGGGACUGAGACACGGCCCAGACCCCUACGGGAGGCAGCAGUAGGGAAUCUUCGGCAAUGGACGGAAGUCUGACCGAGCAACGCCGCGUGAGUGAAGAAGGUUUUCGGAUCGUAAAGCUCUGUUGUAAGAGAAGAACGAGUGUGAGAGUGGAAAGUUCACACUGUGACGGUAUCUUACCAGAAAGGGACGGCUAACUACGUG
Molecule: ribosomal RNA, 495 nt
Filed under: uncultured bacterium
Lineage: Bacteria
Description: partial 16S ribosomal RNA
Rfam family: Bacterial small subunit ribosomal RNA
Source: RNAcentral